Molecule: ribosomal RNA, 842 nt
Filed under: uncultured fungus
Lineage: Eukaryota; Fungi
Description: eukaryotic LSU rRNA
Rfam family: Eukaryotic large subunit ribosomal RNA
Source: RNAcentral
AAAGAAACUAACAAGGAUUCCCCUAGUAACGGCGAGUGAAGCGGGAAGAGCUCAAAUUUAAAAUCUGGUUUGCUUGCAAAUCCGAGUUGUAGUCUGAAGAAGCGUUUUCCAUGAAAAUCGAGGCACAAGUCCUUUGGAACAGGGCAUCAUAGAGGGUGAGAAUCCCGUCCAUGGUCUCGAAUCUUUCAUUUUGUGAUACGCUUUCUAAGAGUCAGGUUGUUUGGGAAUGCAGCCUAAAAUGGGUGGUAAAUUUCAUCUAAAGCUAAAUAUUGGCGAGAGACCGAUAGCGAACAAGUACCGUGAGGGAAAGAUGAAAAGAACUUUGAAAAGAGAGUUAAAAAGUACGUGAAAUUGUUGAAAGGGAACCGUUUGAAGCCAGUCUUGCUUAUUUGUGAUCAGUUUUGGCUUUGGCCAGAAUGCACUCUCAAAUUAUGCAGGUCAACGUCAGUUUGAGAGGCGGGAAAAAAGCUUGAGGAAUGUGGCCUUCGGGUGUUAUAGCCUCUUGCUAAAUACCGUCUCAUGGACUGAGGCUCGCAGCAAAAAUUUGGGCAGGCGUGCUUCUGAGGGGAAUCAUUAUCAAGACAGCUUGCUGACUUGGUUUUGCCCAACUUCACAGUACGUUUCGCUUCUAAUUUGCUUAGGUCGUUGACAUAAUGGCUUUAAAUGACCCGUCUUGAAACACGGACCAAGGAGUCUAACAUAUAUGCGAGUAUUUGGGUGGCAAACCCACAUGCGCAAUGAAAGUGAAAUUAGGUGCCAAACCUUCACGGGUGGCAGCAUCGGCCGGCUCUGACGCUUUAACUGACGAGUCUGAGCAGAAGCAUACAUGUUGGGACCCGAAA